CCUAAUCAGUAUCUAAACAUUCGGUGUGAUAGAAAUUUUAGGAGUUUCUAAAGAAACAAACGGGACCUUACUCAUUUAGUAUGGCUACGAGCAGAACUGAUGAAAAGGUUCAGAUGUCACAGUGCUUGUCAGGGUAAGAGCAUGCUCGGCUGGAAAUGAACCUUUUUUUCUGUCCUUUUUAUAAUUAACUGAGGAUUCGAUAUACUGUUAGCAUGUGAAAUCUAGGAAUCUAGUGCUGAUCAUUUGUUAGACGAUGGAGGCAUUUAGCACAAUAAAAUUGGUAUAGCCUGGAAGUAGUGGAAGUACAUUUUGGGCAUGAAUUAGCAAGUACUUAAAAUGAGACUACGGGUGACAUUCUCUGUGUCUUAUGGAAAUAUUAUUUUGAAUUUGAAAUGCUAUUGUGCUGUUCUUACAUAUGUUGUUUCAACCAGAGCAAGGUUUUAUUUGCUGAAUCCUAUUUCCCAUUAGUAUUUUUUUUAAUCUAUAUACUUUAUGAAAUCAGCUAUUAUUCCAAAGCCGUGAUCUGAAUACAAAAAACCUUUCUCUUUGUAAUUAAAGUAAUUGGUUAGGUUGUUUGGCAUAGUUCAUUGUAGUGAUAAACAUAGAAGUCCUAUCACAAAGUCAAUGAGUGUUCUCUUUUGCAGGGACAUAUAAAAUGGACGGAAGAGUUGCACUACUGAGGUUCUGAAGGAGGAUGCUGUAUUAGUAAGUCAGCAAUCAAGAGUGAGGAAGAAGGUUUUCAGUUUUACAAUUGGUUUGGUGUUAAGAAAAACCAUUGAGCAUGAUCCUUUGCACAGAAAUGAUCAUCCAUGGGAGGCUAACUUUGCUUCUCAGAAGGAAAUUACGGUGCUGAGAGGUAAGUUGACAAUGCCAGGAACAAUGCAGAUAGAGUUCCUGGUUUUGUGAACUAUCUAUGAGACCUACACUGCUACUGAAGUAAUGCUCAAAGACUAAUUUUAUCACAUGAGACAGAUGGUACAGGAGCAUGCACACCAGCUGCUCGAGAACCACCAUCUCUCGUGAAUUAAUCCAUGAGUGACUAAAACCAAAAACCACUACCAGUUGAGCAACUGCCGCCGCUGCACUUCUCAAAACUCAUGACCUCUCCUACUAUUGAGCAGGUAGACGAUCUUGCAUUAUCACCUCAAGUCCCCAACACGCCAAUGUGCUUCACAUAACAAUUAGAAAUAGACUUCAGAGCGCUAGUGAAGAACUGUGCAUUAUUUGACUUCCUGUUUUAUUCAUCAACUCCAAUAUUCUCUACUUCCUCUUGAUACAGGUGUAUGAAGAAUGCAGGUUGAAGCAAUAGAUAGAGUAAUGCGGUCAAGUGGGUAAAAACCUGAUCAAAACUCCACACGCUUGUAUGUAUAACACUGCAUCUGAAUGAAAAUCUUGC
RNAcentral lists this long non-coding RNA (1396 nucleotides) under Setaria italica (foxtail millet). RNAcentral's name for it is "long non-coding RNA (SITA_LNC004799)". Lineage: Eukaryota; Viridiplantae; Streptophyta; Magnoliopsida; Poales; Poaceae. The record is from RNAcentral.